Molecule: unclassified non-coding RNA, 347 nt
Filed under: soil metagenome
Description: partial contains 5.8S ribosomal RNA, internal transcribed spacer 2, and large subunit ribosomal RNA
Rfam family: 5.8S ribosomal RNA (bases 1-120)
Source: RNAcentral
GAUGAAGAACGUAGCGAAAUGCGAUAAGUAAUGUGAAUUGCAGAAUUCAGUGAAUCAUCGAGUCUUUGAACGCACAUUGCGCCCCCUGGCAUUCCGGGGGGCAUGCCUGUCCGAGCGUCAUUGCUGCCCUCAAGCACGGCUUGUGUGUUGGGUCGCCGUCCCCCUCCGGGGGGACGGGCCCGAAAGGCAGCGGCGGCACCGGGUCCGGUCCUCGAGCGUAUGGGGCUUCGUCACCCGCUCUGUAGGGCCGGCCGGCUGUCUGCCGACGACCUAUUUAAUUUUCUUCAGGUUGACCUCGGAUCAGGUAGGGAUACCCGCUGAACUUAAGCAUAUCAAUAAGCGGAGGA